Molecule: ribosomal RNA, 398 nt
Filed under: uncultured bacterium
Lineage: Bacteria
Description: bacterial SSU rRNA
Rfam family: Bacterial small subunit ribosomal RNA
Source: RNAcentral
AUUGAACGCUGGCGGAAUGCUUUACACAUGCAAGUCGAACGGUAGAGGGGGCAACCCCUUGAGAGUGGCGAACGGGUGAGUAAUAUAUCGGAACGUGCCCAGUCGUGGGGAUAACGUAGCGAAAGUUACGCUAAUACCGCAUACGAUCUAAGGAUGAAAGCGGGGGAUCGGCAAGACCUCGCGCGAUUAGAGCGGCCGAUAUCAGAUUAGGUAGUUGGUGAGGUAAAGGCUCACCAAGCCAACGAUCUGUAGCUGGUCUGAGAGGACGACCAGCCACACUGGGACUGAGACACGGCCCAGACUCCUACGGGAGGCAGCAGUGGGGAAUUUUGGACAAUGGACGCAAGUCUGAUCCAGCCAUUCCGCGUGCAGGAUGAAGGCCCUCGGGUUGUAAACUG